RNAcentral lists this ribosomal RNA (468 nucleotides) under uncultured bacterium. RNAcentral's name for it is "partial 16S ribosomal RNA". It matches the Rfam family "Bacterial small subunit ribosomal RNA", at positions 28 to 507 of the family's 1533-position model. The record is from RNAcentral.
GACGAACGCUGGCGGCGUGCUUAACACGUGCAAGUCGAACGGAAAGGCCCUGCUUUUGUGGGGUGCUCGAGUGGCGAACGGGUGAGUAACACGUGAGUAACCUGCCCUUGACUUUGGGAUAACUUCAGGAAACUGGGGCUAAUACCGGAUAGGAGCUCCUGCUGCAUGGUGGGGGUUGGAAAGUUUCGGCGGUUGGGGAUGGACUCGCGGCUUAUCAGCUUGUUGGUGGGGUAGUGGCUUACCAAGGGUUUGACGGGUAGCCGGCCUGAGAGGGUGACCGGCCACAUUGGGACUGAGAUACGGCCCAGACUCCUACGGGAGGCAGCAGUGGGGAAUAUUGCACAAUGGGCGGAAGCCUGAUGCAGAAACGCCGCGUGCGGGAUGACGGCCUUCGGGUUGUAAACCGCUUUCGCCUGUGACGAAGCGUGAGUGACGGUAAUGGGUAAAGAAGCACCGGCUAACUACGUG